RNAcentral lists this long non-coding RNA (415 nucleotides) under Phoenix dactylifera (date palm). RNAcentral describes it as "long non-coding RNA (PDAC_LNC016213)". The record is from RNAcentral. Lineage: Eukaryota; Viridiplantae; Streptophyta; Magnoliopsida; Arecales; Arecaceae.
GAAUUACCUUUGAUAAUUCAUUAAAAUGCACUGGUGAAGGUAAUAUAUUUUUUAGUUGAAUUUACAAAAUAUGUGAAUUAAAAUAAUGAUGAGUGUUAUGAAUGAAAGGUUAAUUUAUGCAUUAUUUAGCACUUAUCACACCCCCCAACCUGCAUUUUGCUAGUCCUCGAGCAAAAUAAAAACUAACUCACUUUCGCAGGAAUCGCGAUUGCAUUUACCGUAUGCAAUAAGGCUUUAAACCCCUAAGUGGCCCUAGUGGACGAGUUUUGUCUCGUGAGGGUUUCCGGCUCAGAUACCCACAAACUGUUGUCGAAAGAAUUUAUUUUAUUAUUUUAUAAAAUCUAAUUUCAAAUGCAUUAAUGCCAAGAAUUUCAAAAGCAUACAAAGUUUUAAUUACUAAGUCAGCCCAAAUCCU